This 640-nucleotide ribosomal RNA is filed under the name uncultured bacterium. RNAcentral describes it as "bacterial SSU rRNA". The stretch from base 1 to 547 matches the Rfam family "Bacterial small subunit ribosomal RNA", at positions 338 to 873 of the family's 1533-position model. The record is from RNAcentral.
CCUACGGGAGGCAGCAGUGGGGAAUAUUGGACAAUGGGCGAAAGCCUGAUCCAGCCAUGCCGCGUGUGUGAAGAAGGUCUUCGGAUUGUAAAGCACUUUAAGUUGGGAGGAAGGGUUGUAGAUUAAUACUCUGCAAUUUUGACGUUACCGACAGAAUAAGCACCGGCUAACUCUGUGCCAGCAGCCGCGGUAAUACAGAGGGUGCAAGCGUUAAUCGGAAUUACUGGGCGUAAAGCGCGCGUAGGUGGUUUGUUAAGUUGGAUGUGAAAGCCCCGGGCUCAACCUGGGAACUGCAUCCAAAACUGGCAAGCUAGAGUACGGUAGAGGGUGGUGGAAUUUCCUGUGUAGCGGUGAAAUGCGUAGAUAUAGGAAGGAACACCAGUGGCGAAGGCGACCACCUGGACUGAUACUGACACUGAGGUGCGAAAGCGUGGGGAGCAAACAGGAUUAGAUACCCUGGUAGUCCACGCCGUAAACGAUGUCAACUAGCCGUUGGAAUCCUUGAGAUUUUUAGUGGUCGCAGCUACGACAUUAAGUUAGUACCGCCGUGGGAGGUACGGCCGCGAAGGUUAAACGUAACAAAUAGAAGUUAGUACGGCGUGAGACGUAGCCGAACGGACGACGACGAGGGAGGUUAGGG